This 64-nucleotide transfer RNA is filed under the name Fukomys damarensis (Damara mole-rat). It matches the Rfam family "tRNA". Rfam says of the family: Transfer RNA (tRNA) molecules are approximately 80 nucleotides in length. Their secondary structure includes four short double-helical elements and three loops (D, anti-codon, and T loops). Further hydrogen bonds mediate the characteristic L-shaped molecular structure. tRNAs have two regions of fundamental functional importance: the anti-codon, which is responsible for specific mRNA codon recognition, and the 3' end, to which the tRNAs corresponding amino acid is attached (by aminoacyl-tRNA synthetases). tRNAs cope with the degeneracy of the genetic code in two manners: having more than one tRNA (with a specific anti-codon) for a particular amino acid; and 'wobble' base-pairing, i.e. permitting non-standard base-pairing at the 3rd anti-codon position. The record is from Rfam by way of RNAcentral. Lineage: Eukaryota; Metazoa; Chordata; Mammalia; Rodentia; Bathyergidae.
GGGGAUUUAGCUCAGGGGCACAGCACCUGCCUGGGAAGCAUGAGGUCCUGAGUUCAAAUCCCCA